ACUUACAGAUGGGCCCGCGGUGCAUUAGCUAGUUGGUGAGGUAACGGCUCACCAAGGCAACGAUGCAUAGCCGACCUGAGAGGGUGAUCGGCCACACUGGGACUGAGACACGGCCCAGACUCCUACGGGAGGCAGCAGUAGGGAAUCUUCCGCAAUGGACGAAAGUCUGACGGAGCAACGCCGCGUGAGUGAUGAAGGCUUUCGGGUCGUAAAACUCUGUUGUUAGGGAAGAACAAGUACUAUUGACGGUACCUAACCAGAAAGCCACGGCUAACUACGUGCCAGCAGCCGCGGUAAUACGUAGGUGGCAAGCGUUAUCCGGAAUUAUUGGGCGUAAAGCGCGCGCAGGCGGUUUCUUAAGUCUGAUGUGAAAGCCCACGGCUCAACCGUGGAGGGUCAUUGGAAACUGGGGAACUUGAGUGCAGAAGAGAAAAGCGGAAUUCAUGUAGCGGUGAAAUGCGUAGAGAU
This 468-nucleotide ribosomal RNA is filed under the name Bacillus sp. (in: firmicutes). RNAcentral's name for it is "bacterial SSU rRNA". It matches the Rfam family "Bacterial small subunit ribosomal RNA", at positions 217 to 697 of the family's 1533-position model. Lineage: Bacteria; Bacillati; Bacillota; Bacilli; Caryophanales; Bacillaceae. The record is from RNAcentral.